UACGAAGGGGGCUAGCGUUGCUCGGAAUCACUGGGCGUAAAGCGUACGUAGGCGGGUCUUUAAGUCAGGGGUGAAAUCCUGGAGCUCAACUCCAGAACUGCCUUUGAUACUGAGGAUCUCGAGUCCGGGAGAGGUGAGUGGAACUCCGAGUGUAGAGGUGAAAUUCGUAGAUAUUCGGAAGAACACCAGUGGCGAAGGCGGCUCACUGGCCCGGUACUGACGCUGAGGUGCGAAAGCGUGGGGAGCAAACAGG
This 253-nucleotide ribosomal RNA is filed under the name uncultured bacterium. Its description in RNAcentral is "partial 16S ribosomal RNA". It matches the Rfam family "Bacterial small subunit ribosomal RNA", at positions 524 to 776 of the family's 1533-position model. The record is from RNAcentral.